UGAGACUCUGUGCGCGUGCAUAUCAAUAAGCGGAGGAAAAGAAACUAACAAGGAUUCCCUUAGUAACGGCGAGUGAAGCGGGAAGAGCUCAAAUUUGAAAUCUUCAAGGUUUUACCUUGACGAAUUGUAGUUUAAAGAAGUGUUUUCUGUUGAAGUUUCGGUAAAAGUUCUUUGGAAUAGGACAUCAUAGAGGGUGAGAAUCCCGUAUUUGACCAUUAUUUUCAGCUGUGUGAUACACUUUCAAAGAGUCGGAUUGUUUGGGAAUGCAGUCCAAAAUGGGUGGUAAAUUUCAUCUAAAGCUAAAUAUUGGCGAGAGACCGAUAGCGAACAAGUACCGUGAGGGAAAGAUGAAAAGAACUUUGAAAAGAGAGUUAAACAGUACGUGAAAUUGUCAAAAGGGAAGCGUUUGACACCAGUGUUGUUUUCUCGAAAAUCAAUUAAAAAAGGCCGGAUUUUGUGUUGUAUUGACCUUAAAAGCUUUCUUCACUCUUUUCUUGUCUUUUUUAAUGCACUUUUCGUUUAACAAGUCAACAUCAGUUUCUUUUGUUGUAAAAGGGUCAUUGGAAGGUGGCCUUCUUUUCGGAGAAAGUGUUUAUAGCCUUUGAUCUCUGCAACCGGAGAGACUGAGGUCUGCAGCGUAGACUCUUCGGGGUUAGAUACAUUUGUGCUAAGCUAUAGCUUUUUAUAGACAACUUGUUGACUAUAGUUUAGUCUUGUAGCUUACUCGCCUAUGCUAUUUUACCUACGCUUAGGAUGUUGAACUCUAUCACACACAG
Molecule: ribosomal RNA, 776 nt
Filed under: uncultured Neocallimastigales
Lineage: Eukaryota; Fungi; Neocallimastigomycota; Neocallimastigomycetes; Neocallimastigales
Description: partial large subunit ribosomal RNA
Rfam family: Eukaryotic large subunit ribosomal RNA
Source: RNAcentral